UUCUUUUCUGUUCUUGUUCACUCAUUGCCUGACACAGUGCCUAGGAUUAGUUUCAUUCUCUACUAUUUGUAUUUGUUUGUCUGAAUUAGGAGAACCAAAAGAUGUCCUACUUACAGUGUUUCAUGGAAAAUCAUUUUGGGGGAAAAAAAAAAAAAAACGCUUAAAGCUACAGAACUUUAUUUUCAGAUAGGCUGUUAUGUGGGUUGCGCACAGACCUAAUUAUUCGUUUAAAUAAGCAUAUUUCUAUAUAGAAAUCAUUUGACAGACACAUUUUGUAAACUAAUGGUGUCAUAUACAACAAAUAAAAAUGGAUAUAAUGAGGUAGUUCACAAAGAAAUAAAUACUCACAUAUGUGCCUUUAAAGGGGGGGGGGGAAUGCUCGUUUUCACUCAAUCUCCUGUUAAUCUUGAGUACCUAUAGAGUAGUACUGCAUCCUUCAUAACUCCAAAAAGUCUUUAGUUUUAUUAUAUUCCUAAGAGAAAGAUAGUCUGUACCGAUUUUUCCCGGAAAAACACGACUGGCUGGAGGCGUGACGUGUGGGCGGAGCUAAAGAAUCACGAGCGCCAGUUGGCUUUUGCAUUGAGAGCGUUUGGAAGCUGUGACAUUACCAUGAGGGAAAAGCCAUCAUCCAAAACAAACCAUGGCUUACAGUCAGAUUCAGCCGUUUAUUUAUUCAGGCGUUUAUUAACUGAACAAGAGCAGCAGCAGCGGGGCUCGAACCCAGGUCUUCGGCAUGGGAGGCGGACACACUAACAAGGAGGCAGAGAUAUUUGAGCAGUUUUACUCACCGCCUGCGGUUUUCGUUGGGAUUGCAUCAUCCUUAAGAAAUAAACGAGACGCAAAUCCGUUGUCAAACUGGGCUUUGUUUGUAAAACAAGCAUCUUCGAAAUUUAGGGAUUAUUUUUGCUCUGUAAAAAUAAACUCCAUCCACUGGUCCCUUAAUUAUGUUUUUUUUUUGGUAAUCUGUGCAGGGUUGUCUUGCCCUGGAAACCAAAAACACACUUCUUUUGUGACUUUUUGCGACGCUCUCGCUCUGAUCAGUGAAUAGCUCUGAUCAGUGAAAUGUGUGUUCAGCCUCGCUAUACGGGAGUGCGCGCUCUUCUGGCAGAAGUGCCUUCGGACCCAUAUAAGGAAAUUCCGCUCCAUCUAACGUCACACAGAGCCAUUCUCGAAAAAAACUUUCCGAAACUUGGAGAAGGGUCUGGCUGCAGACCAUGGGCGAGUGGAGCUCCACUCUCAAACCGGAAGUACGUCACCUCCACUUGAAAACAUCAAGAUGGCGUCGCCGGGAGUACUUCAAACUUAAAAUCAGAUCAAAUGUAUAUCAAGUGUUAUCCAUCCUUGAUAACACCUCCACAAAUAGAGACUGGAACUUCUGAGCACCAUCACCUUGUCUGCUUUGGGACUGUCAUAGGAGAAUGAUGCACCCAGCAAUCAGAUGCAUCAGAACAACAAAGCACAACUGUGGUGGACCAGGCACCUUCAGCAACAAGUAAAUUGCUUUAACUUUAAUGAUAAUGAAAUGUCAGUAUUGUAAUUAAACUUGACCCAUCUGACGUAAUUGUUCAUGCCAGAGAUUUAACAACACUGUCAGUCAGGAGCAUAUUUAACAGGAGCCACACUCAACUGGCUUGAUGGUGACUUCAGUAAGUGUGGUUGACCCUCUUGUUUUUGUGGCUAUAAUAAUUAGGCUAAGUAAUCUCAAUCUCUUCCAUUUCCCUAACAUGAAACUUGACUGAAACAUGAAAAUGAUACUUAACCGGUGCAGUGAAGAUAUUUAAAGAAACACUAUCACUAUCUAAAGUACAGAAAGCCUUACAUCAUCUCUAGGUGCAGUCACCUACAGCGCAGCCAGCUUCACAAAGACUGUGGGGCUGGUCACCAGGAAAAUGGACAACAGGGAGUGCUUUUGGGGUUUUACUCCUCAAAUGAUCACCCUGGCUACUGUAGCUGGGAUUGCUUCACAGACGAUGGAGGUCUUGAAGAGUAAAGUGUGCGUGCGUGCGCACACAUUGUGUUUUUACUUUAACAAUUAUGGUCACUUGCAGUUAAUUUGUUUUUAGUGUAGUGUAAGAUGUGUUAAUUAUUAUUAUUAUUACUCAAAAACCAUUAAAACUUCUAAAUUGUGGAAGUUAUUCUUCAUUAUGUUACUGUGGUUAUUUUGUAUAUGUUAUUAUUUCGAUUAAAAUACAAAAUUCAACACACAAAUUCUGGUUGAGGUAUUAUUUUAAUAAUUUAUUUAAUAUUUCAUUAUUUUUUCACUGCUAAAUAUUACAAACAUAGGGUUAACUUUCUAAAAUGUAUGGAAUGUUACAUUGUCAGUUGUACAUUGGUAAAACAAACAUGAACAAAAGGCAGAAGCCCUAAAAAUAUGGAUUGUGGAUGUCGGUAGUGCAAAUUGCUGAGGGGAAAUAAAAAAAAAAUUGCUGUCGUGUC
Long non-coding RNA from Carassius gibelio (silver crucian carp), 2436 nucleotides. RefSeq lists it as uncharacterized. The transcript has 3 exons. Lineage: Eukaryota; Metazoa; Chordata; Actinopteri; Cypriniformes; Cyprinidae. The record is from RefSeq and is a predicted model, not a curated record.